Molecule: ribosomal RNA, 505 nt
Filed under: uncultured bacterium
Lineage: Bacteria
Description: partial 16S ribosomal RNA
Rfam family: Bacterial small subunit ribosomal RNA
Source: RNAcentral
GACGAACGCUGGCGGCGUGCCUAAUACAUGCAAGUAGAACGCACAGUUUAUACCGUAGCUUGCUCCACCAUAGACUGUGAGUUGCGAACGGGUGAGUAACGCGUAGGUAACCUGCCUGGUAGCGGGGGAUAACUAUUGGAAACGAUAGCUAAUACCGCAUAAUAUUAUUUAUUGCAUGAUAAUUAAUUGAAAGGUGCAAUUGCACCACUACCAGAUGGACCUGCGUUGUAUUAGCUAGUAGGUGAGGUAACGGCUCACCUAGGCGACGAUACAUAGCCGACCUGAGAGGGUGAUCGGCCACACUGGGACUGAGACACGGCCCAGACUCCUACGGGAGGCAGCAGUAGGGAAUCUUCGGCAAUGGACGAAAGUCUGACCGAGCAACGCCGCGUGAGUGAAGAAGGUUUUCGGAUCGUAAAGCUCUGUUGUAAGAGAAGAACGGGUGUGAGAGUGGAAAGUUCACACUGUGACGGUAUCUUACCAGAAAGGGACGGCUAACUACGUG